This 62-nucleotide transfer RNA is filed under the name Ephemerella sp. MT-2014. RNAcentral's name for it is "tRNA-His". It matches the Rfam family "tRNA". From Rfam's summary of the family: Transfer RNA (tRNA) molecules are approximately 80 nucleotides in length. Their secondary structure includes four short double-helical elements and three loops (D, anti-codon, and T loops). Lineage: Eukaryota; Metazoa; Arthropoda; Insecta; Ephemeroptera; Ephemerellidae. The record is from RNAcentral.
GCCUAAGUAGUUUAAGUAAAACAUCAACUUGUGGCGUUGGAGAUAUAAUUUUAUUUUGGGUC